UGGAAACAGGCUCCAGGCUCUGAGCCAUCAGCCCAGAGCCUGACGCGGGGCUCGAACUCCCGGACCGCGAGAUCGUGACCUGGCUGAAGUCGGACGCUCAACCGACUGCGCCACCCAGACGCCCCGGUGCUCGUCUUUUGAGGUGAAAAAGAAAGGACAUUUGAGUGAGACUCAGAAGUGGCCAGAGUCCAUGGAAGGAUUGCUUUGACUCUCUGAAACACUGCACAGACCUGUCUUCACAUUGGAGAUCUAAAACAGUGCAUGAAAGCAGACACACAGGUGUUGACCAGGCCCAUGAACCAAGCCCGCUUUGUUUGUGUUACACACGGUGAACUUUUUUCCUGGGAAGUCAGAUUGCAAAUGAAAAUUCAGAGCAGCACUUUGGAACUAACAAGUACUGAUCUCUAGGUGAUGUCCUUUUCCUUUUGGACUUGAGCUUGUUGCCUUUCAUGAGGACAUCUGAGCAGUGGGCCAGAGGCAUUCAAAGUCUCUUUUCUUUCAUCAGUGUCCUCUCUUGUGGACUUAAACCACCAAACAAAAGCAACCUCAGUAAAGCAAUGAAAGGUCCACCUCAUUUUAGGAAAUUCUUGAACAGGAAAUCUUGGUGAUUCCACGUGAUGUUACUUUUGUCUUAAAAGUCACAACGUUAUUCAUUUUAAGGAAACAAUGGUGUAACCUGGAAUCUUCGUCAGAUCUGCCUUGAAAUCAGAAGCAUCCAAAUAAGAUGAACAAGAACAGGGUACCCUCUCUCCAUUCAGAACUGAUAUUUUCACUUCCUUUUGCUUCACUCUGACAUCUAUGUUACAAAAGUGGAAAGUAGUCACUUGACAUAAAUAUAUUUAGAUGAGGACACUAGAUUUAUUUCCCUGGAAGAAUUACCCUAAGGAAGAGGACCUUUGGACACAGAUCAAGCUGCUGCACUGAAGGAAUAGAACUGAAGACCAGUGAAAGGAGGCAGUGAAUCCUGAAGAUGGGCCAUGAUUAUUUGUCUGUGUGGUGCCAAGUUGACACAAGCUCUGGAGGCCAGGAGUCCAGGAUCAAGGUUGCAUUCUGGGGCUUCAUGGGAAGGGAGUGCCACACUGACCUUUGGAUUCAGAGUAGGUUUUCCUGCUUGAGAAUGAGGUAAAGGUGCAUGAAAUAGCAUGUAAGUUUCUGUGGCGAGAGAUUUACCCUAAAAUACCAACUCCUGUCCAGGGGGUUGACAAUCUCUGAAAGGAAAAUUUCUCUGGUUUCUGGAUGGAAAAUGCACUUUGAAGCAAAAACUCCUCUUCCUAAUUGAAUUGUAGCUUAUGAUUUUUUUCUAGUGGGUUUUGCUACACUAAAACAUUUAUUUAAAGGUUUACGUGAAUGGAAUAUGGGUAUUAUGGAAGACAGAUAUAUAUACGAUUUAUAGAGACAUCAGAAUUCUUUUUAGGGCUCAAAUUGGGCUAGAGGCAAGAUCUUUGAUUUCUAACUGAAUCCAUUUGACUCUAAAUAUGUAAGUCUUUUGUAUUUGAUGAUUAGAAUACCUAAGAAUUUUUCUAAAUCAUUUGAUUAAUUUCCAUUCUCAAAGAUAAAUUCUUCAUUCUAUUGAUAAUGGCUUUUUCUUGUUUGGUUACAAAACAAACAAUUUGAUUUUACUUCUUUUAUAUAUUGAAGAAUGAUUUAAUGAAAAAGAACACAGCAAUAGUGAUAUUUCCACUAGAGGCAAAACUAUUUGAUAAAACAUAUCUACUAGUUUUUGAGUCACAAGAGUUUAAGGGAAUAUUCCUGAACUCGCCUUUUUUAUUUUGCUUUGGAGAUCAUAAUUUCUUGGAGUAAAUUCUGCAACCGAUCAAGGGAUGAAAUUUGAAUGAGGAAAAGAGAUGCACUGAAGAUUAUCUACAAUGGGAUGCUACUGUCAUCUUCCUUUUUCCCCCAAUGAAUAAAAACAAUCGAUGACCCAUUAAUAGUUACUAAUUAAUUUUUUUCUAAGAUUGUUAUAGAUAUAGAAAGUUUCCUCCACAGUCCCCUCCUGGGAUUUUGGGAUUAGGAUUUGGUAGGCAGUUAAGGAACAUGGAAUUUUAGGUCACCAAUAAUUUGCCUGCCAAAGGAAAAACGAAUCUACCAGAUAGCCUUGCACAUGAUAGGUACCCAAUAGAUGGCAACUAGAUGAAUGAAUGAAUGAGUCAAAUACAAUGUUAGUAUAUGUUAGUAUAUUUUUGAUGCUUUAUAUUUUUUCUAGUUCAGCUAGAACACAUUUGGAAACUGUUGCAGAAGUGAUUUGUUGAUACCUCCUUCUUUCCAUUCUAACUGAGUUUAAACACUAAUUUCAAUACACCUCUUUAAUAAAAAUCUUCCAUGAAUGCAUUGACCUAGGAUAAAAUGAAAACUUGUUAACCUUCAAAGCAAAGCUCUCCAAAAUUUGGAUUCACCCAAUUUGUUUAGUUAAGUUCAUCAUUAAUAAUAGAUUUACCCUGACUUUGUUAUUUCCCUCACUAUUUUUUAAAACAAAAUAAAGCAACAAAAACCAGACUGCUUCUCAUUUCAAUUCUGAAAUUUUUGUUUUUUGCUUUUUUGUUUUUGUUUUUGUUUUUUGUCUGUUUUUUUUUUUUUGGUUGUUGUUAUAUACUAACAUUCUUUUCCCCAUCAAAAUUCUAGUAACUAUUAAACUAAGGAUUUUAAAAAUACUUUUGAGAUGUCUCUCAUCAUCAUAAAGCUUUUCCAAAGGUCAGAACACCAUGAAGGUGCCGUGCCCCAGAGCAGAGCUUUUGCUGUCCCUCUGCAGACCACCUGGCUUCCCAUUGCCAGUUGUUAAAGCAUCUCCCUUCCAUCCUUUGGCAAAGCCCAUUGUCUUUGGCAUCUCACGCCAUCGGGCUAUAUGGUUCUCCUCCCUUUCUUAUUGAUGUCAUUUACAGACUUCCUAAUCAUUUCUCUUCACUCGUUGACAUCUUUCACAACUGUGAGAGGGCUUUCACAACUGUCGUCCCUACAUUCUGUCCUGUCAGAGAGGAAAGUGUCAGCGUACCUGUGGCAAACAGUCAUUUAAAAAUUCUAGCUUUCAGGGGCACCUGGGUGGCUCAGUUGGUUAAGCAUCUGACUUCAGCUCAGGC
Long non-coding RNA from Felis catus (domestic cat), 3071 nucleotides. RefSeq lists it as uncharacterized. Lineage: Eukaryota; Metazoa; Chordata; Mammalia; Carnivora; Felidae. The transcript has 6 exons. The record is from RefSeq and is a predicted model, not a curated record.